Molecule: ribosomal RNA, 272 nt
Filed under: Escherichia coli
Lineage: Bacteria; Pseudomonadati; Pseudomonadota; Gammaproteobacteria; Enterobacterales; Enterobacteriaceae
Also listed under: 1 other name
Description: partial 16S ribosomal RNA
Rfam family: Bacterial small subunit ribosomal RNA
Source: RNAcentral
AAAUUGAAGAGUUUGAUCAUGGCUCAGAUUGAACGCUGGCGGCAGGCCUAACACAUGCAAGUCGAACGGUAACAGGAAGCAGCUUACUGUUUCGCUGACGAGUGGCGGACGGGUGAGUAAUGUCUGGGAAACUGCCUGAUGGAGGGGGAUAACUACUGGAAACGGUAGCUAAUACCGCAUAACGUCGCAAGACCAAAGAGGGGGACCUUCGGGCCUCUUGCCAUCGGAUGUGCCCAGAUGGGAUUAGCUAGUAGGUGGGGUAACGGCUCACC